AUUAUGCAUAAAUAUGAACAAUACCGUUGCUGUCAACGGGCUUAUCUGCUAAUGUUAGCUACCAAUUGUUACCU
Etheostoma cragini (Arkansas darter) is the source of this 74-nucleotide long non-coding RNA. RefSeq lists it as uncharacterized. The record is from RefSeq and is a predicted model, not a curated record. The transcript has 3 exons. NCBI's taxonomy places the organism in Eukaryota, Metazoa, Chordata, Actinopteri, Perciformes, Percidae.